RNAcentral lists this ribosomal RNA (496 nucleotides) under Anelpistina sp. 1 LE-2019. RNAcentral's name for it is "partial large subunit ribosomal RNA". It matches the Rfam family "Bacterial large subunit ribosomal RNA", at positions 1828 to 2600 of the family's 2925-position model. The record is from RNAcentral. Lineage: Eukaryota; Metazoa; Arthropoda; Insecta; Zygentoma; Nicoletiidae.
GGUUUGAUGAAUUUAGUUGUUAAAUUUGGCCUGCCCAAUGAUUUAAUUUAAUGGCCGCGGUAAUUUGACCGUGCAAAGGUAGCAUAAUCAUUAGUCCUUUAAUUGGGGUCUGGCAUGAAGGGUUCGACGAGGGAGGUUCUGUCUUAAGCUAUAAUGGGUCUGAAAUUUAUUAUUUAGUGAAAAAGCUAAAAUAGUCUUGAGGGACGAUAAGACCCUAUAGAUCUUUAUAGUUUUCACUCCUUGACGAGGGAGUGUUAACUGUUUUGUUGGGGCGACAUAGAGAAAUGGGUAUCUCUCUAGUUUUAGAAUUACCGGCAGGUAUAUUGGUUAGAUCCAUUGUUUAUGAAAAUCGGAUUAAGUUACCUUAGGGAUAACAGCGUAAUUUUGCUUGAGAGUUCAUAUCGACAGCAAAGUUUGCGACCUCGAUGUUGGAUUAAGAUUUAUUGGUGGUGUAGAAGCUGCUAGAUUGGGUCUGUUCGACCCUUGGAAUCUUACA